RNAcentral lists this ribosomal RNA (566 nucleotides) under Phomopsis sp. 128AH/T. Its description in RNAcentral is "eukaryotic LSU rRNA". The stretch from base 203 to 356 matches the Rfam family "5.8S ribosomal RNA". Lineage: Eukaryota; Fungi; Ascomycota; Sordariomycetes; Diaporthales; Diaporthaceae. The record is from RNAcentral.
CGUAGGUGAACCUGCGGAGGGAUCAUUGCUGGAACGCGCCCCAGGCGCACCCAGAAACCCUUUGUGAACUUAUACCUUUUGUUGCCUCGGCGCAUGCUGGCCUCUAGUAGGCCCCUCACCCCGGUGAGGAGACGGCACGCCGGCGGCCAAGUUAACUCUUGUUUUUACACUGAAACUCUGAGAAAAAACACAAAUGAAUCAAAACUUUCAACAACGGAUCUCUUGGUUCUGGCAUCGAUGAAGAACGCAGCGAAAUGCGAUAAGUAAUGUGAAUUGCAGAAUUCAGUGAAUCAUCGAAUCUUUGAACGCACAUUGCGCCCUCUGGUAUUCCGGAGGGCAUGCCUGUUCGAGCGUCAUUUCAACCCUCAAGCAUUGCUUGGUGUUGGGGCACUGCUUUUAACGAAGCAGGCCCUGAAAUCUAGUGGCGAGCUCGCCAGGACCCCGAGCGCAGUAGUUAAACCCUCGCUACUGGAAGGCCCUGGCGGUGCCCUGCCGUUAAACCCCCAACUUCUGAAAAUUUGACCUCGGAUCAGGUAGGAAUACCCGCUGAACUUAAGCAUAUCAAU